CAAUAGCGUGUGUUAAAGUUGUUGCAGUUAAAAAGCUCGUAGUUGGAUUUCUGGUGGGAGCGAUCGGUCUGGCGCUUAGCGCGAGUACUUGCAUCGUCUCCGGCCAUCCUUGGGGAGAGUCUGUCUGGCAUUAGGUUGUCGGGCAGAGGAUCCUCAUCGUUUACUGUGAAAAAAUUAGAGUGUUCAAAGCAGGCUUAUGCCGUUGAAUAUAUUAGCAUGGAAUAAUAAGAUAGGACUUUGGUACUAUUUUGUUGGUUUGCGCACCAAAGUAAUGAUUAAUAGGGACAGUUGGGGGCAUUCGUAUUCCGUUGUCAGAGGUGAAAUUCUUGGAUUUACGGAAGACGAACUACUGCGAAAGCAUUUACCAAGGAUGUUUUCAUUAA
Molecule: ribosomal RNA, 383 nt
Filed under: uncultured eukaryote
Lineage: Eukaryota
Description: partial 18S ribosomal RNA
Rfam family: Eukaryotic small subunit ribosomal RNA
Source: RNAcentral